UUGGCGUUUUCCUGGGGUGCAACAGGUUAAGGAUCUGACAUUGUCACUGCAAUGGCUGGGUCUGCUGAUAGAGCAGGGUUUCAAUCCCUGGCCCGGGAUUUCCAUAAAUAAAGAAAUAAAAAUGAUUUAUUGGAAGCAUUUAUCAUCCCAUUCCUGGCUGGUUAGGGAAUGUAGUCUAGUGAAUUAAGCUUCAAAUUGUGGAAAAGUUUGUUAAUAGAGGAAACAUUGGCAAAUUGAAAUAGUUUAUUAACUUUAAUAGUUACAACCUUUUACAAUCUAGUCCAGAGAAAAAAUACAUCUGGAAAAAAAAAAAAGUCAUGAAGAAUGCAACAUGGUCACAUGUUGGGUUUGGUGCCACCAUCUGCUGAUAUAUGAUUUCAUUGAAGGGGUUGAAAACUAAACAAUCACUUCAUGUUUGUGGAAUAUUUUAUCAUUAUUUAUAGCUGCCAAAAUGUAUGUAAAUUUCAAAUAAAGGGCAAGGAAGCUGGAAAAGAAUUAAGGACAGCUGGGAUCAGUCAUCAAUAAAGUGUUUCUUUAUUGAUUUCAUUGAAACUCAAGGUUACCUUUAGUGUUUUCAUGUCUUUUUGUUUUGUUCUGUUUUCAUUUUCUACUUCCCUCUUUUUGUCUUUUCCAGCAGUGAAAGCCAGCAGACCCGUGCGGUUUUGAAGUAAUGUAAAGUGUUCAGGCAAAAAAUUCUCAGAUUCCCAGGGGGAAAAAGCAGUGCAAAUAAAUGAGGAUCACACAAUCAUCGCCACCAGCUCAGGGCCUCUCUGGGUUGAUUCAUGAGCUUUCAAAAGGCUCACUCUAUCUGAAUGAUGAAACAAAGGCAAUCGCUUGCAGAGAAGAUAGCCGAAACUAUUUGUGGAUGCUGAGAAGAAAGAUAGGUUGGAUUUAGUGAUGCAUCUCCUUGGACUCAUGCGGCAUGGAGAAGCUUGAACUGAGAUUCUUGGAAAAGGCAGAGAGGUCAAGAGGAAGAAAGGAAAUCCAGGAAGAAGAGACUCCAAGGUUUCAAUUGGAGACAAAUUCCAUCUACACAUUCUACAAAGAGCCCCUAUAAGAACUGUUAAGACCCUGAGAUGCUCGUGUGUCCGUGAUCUGGCCUCAAAUAAGAAGAAGUUCUUUCUGGUUCUGGACCAGCACACCCACCCUGAUGCUGAGGAGCAUAAGAGCAAGUUUAGAGGUCAGUGAUGGAGUAUUCAUUUUAGGAAAGAUAAUGGAGACAAUAUCAAAACUGCAAAUGGAGUACUGUAUCAGAGUUUAAGUAGCAACUUGAUACAACACAACAGAUGGAGCUAAAACUGAUGUAUGCAACCUAAAAACUGGCAUUUCUCCAAAUAUAAUCUUUAAUUAAUUAACACAGGAGAAAAGUUUCAUUUUAUUGUCUGACAUAUCAAAACAAUUCAAUAAAGUAAAAACAAGAUGCCA
This 1425-nucleotide long non-coding RNA is filed under the name Sus scrofa (pig). RNAcentral describes it as "lncRNA (ENSSSCG00050070767.1)". Lineage: Eukaryota; Metazoa; Chordata; Mammalia; Artiodactyla; Suidae. The record is from RNAcentral.